GUGUCAGCAGCCGCGGUAAUACGUAGGGUGCAAGCGUUGUCCGGAAUUACUGGGUGUAAAGGGUCCGCAGGCGGGCAAGCAAGUCGGUGGUGAAAGCUCACGGCUCAACCGUGAAAUUGCCUUCGAUACUGCUUGUCUUGAGUUCGGGAAAGGAUGAUGGAAUUCAUGGUGUAGCGGUGAAAUGCGUAGAGAUCAUGAAGAACACCAGUAGCGAAGGCGGUCAUCUGGCCCGAAACUGACGCUCAGGGACGAAAGCGUGGGUAGCAAACAGGAUUAGAAACCCCCGUAGUCC
This 292-nucleotide ribosomal RNA is filed under the name uncultured bacterium. RNAcentral describes it as "partial 16S ribosomal RNA". It matches the Rfam family "Bacterial small subunit ribosomal RNA", at positions 505 to 796 of the family's 1533-position model. The record is from RNAcentral.